UACGUAGGGGGCAAGCGUUAUCCGGAUUUACUGGGUGUAAAGGGAGCGUAGACGGUACGCCAAGUCAGAUGUGAAAUGCCGCAGCUUAACUGCGGAGCUGCAUUUGAAACUUACGUUCUUGAGUGAAGUAGAGGUAAGCGGAAUUCCUAGUGUAGCGGUGAAAUGCGUAGAUAUUAGGAGGAACACCGGUGGCGAAGGCGGCUUACUGGGCUUAAACUGACGCUGAGGCACGAAAGUGUGGGGAGCAAACAGG
This 253-nucleotide ribosomal RNA is filed under the name uncultured Oscillospiraceae bacterium. RNAcentral's name for it is "partial 16S ribosomal RNA". It matches the Rfam family "Bacterial small subunit ribosomal RNA", at positions 524 to 776 of the family's 1533-position model. The record is from RNAcentral. Lineage: Bacteria; Bacillati; Bacillota; Clostridia; Eubacteriales; Oscillospiraceae.